This is a long non-coding RNA of Heterocephalus glaber (naked mole-rat), 1091 nucleotides long. The record is from Ensembl. NCBI's taxonomy places the organism in Eukaryota, Metazoa, Chordata, Mammalia, Rodentia, Bathyergidae.
GUGAGAUUUCAGUUCAGUUUGUGAAAGAACAAUGGAGAGCAUGUGUGUUGUUGAGCCUGUGUAUAACUGUGUGCAUCUGCCUUUUAUUAUGCAAUGAGCCUAAAAAAUCUCAGCGAGAUUCUCAGAGAUCCAGUGCGUUCAGAACUAGUUGUGAAAAGGAAGAGAGGGUUUUUUGGCAAGGCUGAAGAUGGGCCCCGUGGGGCUGUUUUGAAUCUGAUGAUUUAGCUAUAAAGUCUGAGGAGGAAGAAACAUGGCUGAAACCCUCACUGGUUGACUGGAAAAUACAAAUGAGCAGGCAACAAAUGAAGAGUACCAUGAAGCACAGGGCUGAUUAUCAGCUGUUUCAAGAGAAAACAUCAAUUCGUGCUUCUGUGGCUAGGAGUGCCUUUGGGAGGAGGUGGAUGUCCCAUGGACCCCGGGGGCUGAUGAUUUGCACGUGUGUCUGUUAUAGGGGUGCACUGUGACAUACACACUAACAGCGACUGGAUUCUUCUCUCCUGGAGGGACAGUCAGUUGGUUUGGUAAAUUCUCCAAGGAAAUUUUCAGAGUGAAGCAAUAGGAAUGGUCAUUCAUUUGUAAAAACAAACACAGGCAGCUCUGCGUCAGCAGCCCCCAUGGAGAGCAACUUGCUUAAUAUUUUAAAUAGAUUUUAAAGGAUGAUUUGGGGUCUUAAACUUGACAAUGGGGAGAAAAAAACUAAACCAUGUUAAGAAGGAACAUAUGUGAGACAAAUAUUGAGCAGCUGAAAAUAAUGGAUAAUUUUGACACAUUUUAGUAUGUUUGACACAAUUUCAAUUUCAAUUAAAUGAGACACCAUUUAAUGUUUUUAUAGAAAAAAGAACAUGCUGUCAAAACUUUAAAAAAAACCUCACCUUGCAAAAAGUUAUGUUGAGGCAGACAAAAAGCUCUGAGUGACAUUUGCCUGAUGGUAAUGGAGCUUUGAAAACAACAAAAGUAUGAGAGAAUCUUACUUUGUUGAUCAAUCUUAAAGAGGAAGAUUUUCAUGAAACAUAAGAUUCUCAAAAUAUUCUUAACAAUAAUUACAGUAUCAUAGGAAUGGUGAUUAAGUGGAGAUAAACACUGAAUAAAAC